GUCGGGCGCGGCGACGCAUGCCUGUAGUCCCAGCUACUCAGGAGGCUGAGGUGGGAGGAUCGCUUGAGCCCAGGAGUUCUGCGCUGUAGUGCGCUAUGCCGAUCGGGUGUCUGCACUAAGUUUGGCAUCAAUAUGGUGACCUCCUGGGAGGGGGGACCACCAGGUUGCCUAAGGAGGGGUGAACCGGCCCCGGUUGGAAACGGAGCAGGUCAAACCACCCGUGCUGAUCAGUACCGGGAUCGCGCCUGUGAAUAGCCACUGCAUGCCAGCCUGGGCAACAGAGUGACACCCCGUCUCU
Molecule: signal recognition particle RNA, 298 nt
Filed under: Aotus nancymaae (Ma's night monkey)
Lineage: Eukaryota; Metazoa; Chordata; Mammalia; Primates; Aotidae
Description: Metazoan signal recognition particle RNA (ENSANAG00000007791.1)
Rfam family: Metazoan signal recognition particle RNA
About the family: The signal recognition particle (SRP) is a universally conserved ribonucleoprotein. It is involved in the co-translational targeting of proteins to membranes.
Source: RNAcentral